GAUGAACGCUGGCGGCGUGCCUAAUACAUGCAAGUCGAGCGAACGGACGAGAAGCUUGCUUUUCUGAUGUUAGCGGCGGACGGGUGAGUAACACGUGGAUAACCUACCUAUAAGACUGGGAUAACUUCGGGAAACCGGAGCUAAUACCGGAUAAUAUUUUGAACCGCAUGGUUCAUAAGUGAAAGACGGUCUUGCUGUCACUUAUAGAUGGAUCCGCGCUGCAUUAGCUAGUUGGUAAGGUAACGGCUUACCAAGGCAACGAUGCAUAGCCGACCUGAGAGGGUGAUCGGCCACACUGGAACUGAGACACGGUCCAGACUCUUACGGGAGGCAGCAGUAGGGAAUCUUCCGCAAUGGGCGAAAGCCUGACGGAGCAACGCCGCGUGAGUGAUGAAGGUCUUCGGAUCGUAAAACUCUGUUAUUAGGGAAGAACAUAUGUGUAAGUAACUGUGCACAUCUUGACGGUACCUAAUCAGAAAGCCACGGCUAACUACGUG
This 497-nucleotide ribosomal RNA is filed under the name uncultured bacterium. RNAcentral describes it as "partial 16S ribosomal RNA". It matches the Rfam family "Bacterial small subunit ribosomal RNA", at positions 28 to 507 of the family's 1533-position model. The record is from RNAcentral.